Molecule: ribosomal RNA, 253 nt
Filed under: uncultured bacterium
Lineage: Bacteria
Description: partial 16S ribosomal RNA
Rfam family: Bacterial small subunit ribosomal RNA
Source: RNAcentral
UACGGGGGGGGCAAGCGUUGUUCGGAAUUACUGGGCGUAAAGGGCUCGUAGGCGGCCAACUAAGUCAGACGUGAAAUCCCCAGGCUUAACCUGGGAACUGCGUCUGAUACUGGAUGGCUUGAAUUCGGGAGAGGGAUGCAGAAUUCCAGGUGUAGCGGUGAAAUGCGUAGAUAUUCGGAAGAACACCAGUGGCGAAGGCGACUCACUGGACACGUAUUGACGCUGAGGUGCGAAAGCGUGGGGAGCAAACAGG